GGAUGAGUGGCGAACGGGUGAGUAACACGUGAGUAACCUGCCCUCUUCUUUGGGAUAACGCCCGGAAACGGGUGCUAAUACUGGAUAUUCACUGAUCUUCGCAUGGGGGUUGGUGGAAAGGUUUGUUCUGGUGGGGGAUGGGCUCGCGGCCUAUCAGCUUGUUGGUGGGGUGAUGGCCUACCAAGGCUUUGACGGGUAGCCGGCCUGAGAGGGUGACCGGUCACAUUGGGACUGAGAUACGGCCCAGACUCCUACGGGAGGCAGCAGUGGGGAAUAUUGCACAAUGGGCGCAAGCCUGAUGCAGCGACGCCGCGUGAGGGAUGGAGGCCUUCGGGUUGUAAACCUCUUUCGCUCAUGGUCAAGCCGCGACGUGGGUUGUGGUGAGGGUAGUGGGUAAAGAAGCGCCGGCUAACUACGUGCCAGCAGCCGCGGUAAUACGUAGGGCGCGAGCGUUGUCCGGAAUUAUUGGGCGUAAAGGGCUUGUAGGCGGUUGGUCGCGUCUGCCGUGAAAUUCUCUGGCUUAACUGGGGGCGUGCGGUGGGUACGGGCUGACUUGAGUGCGGUAGGGGAGACUGGAACUCCUGGUGUAGCGGUGGAAUGCGCAGAUAUCAGGAAGAACA
RNAcentral lists this ribosomal RNA (620 nucleotides) under uncultured Actinomycetes bacterium. RNAcentral's name for it is "bacterial SSU rRNA". It matches the Rfam family "Bacterial small subunit ribosomal RNA", at positions 89 to 708 of the family's 1533-position model. The record is from RNAcentral. Lineage: Bacteria; Bacillati; Actinomycetota; Actinomycetes.